GCGGCAGCCUAAUAAUGCAAGUCGAGCGGACAGAUGGGAGCUUGCUCCCUGAUGUUAGCGGCGGACGGGUGAGUAACACGUGGGUAACCUGCCUGUAAGACUGGGAUAACUCCGGGAAACCGGGGCUAAUACCGGAUGGUUGUCUGAACCGCAUGGUUCAGACAUAAAAGGUGGCUUCGGCUACCACUUACAGAUGGACCCGCGGCGCAUUAGCUAGUUGGUGAGGUAACGGCUCACCAAGGCGACGAUGCGUAGCCGACCUGAGAGGGUGAUCGGCCACACUGGGACUGAGACACGGCCCAGACUCCUACGGGAGGCAGCAGUAGGGAAUCUUCCGCAAUGGACGAAAGUCUGACGGAGCAACGCCGCGUGAGUGAUGAAGGUUUUCGGAUCGUAAAGCUCUGUUGUUAGGGAAGAACAAGUGCCGUUCAAAUAGGGCGGCACCUUGACGGUACCUAACCAGAAAGCCACGGCUAACUACGUGCCAGCAGCCGCGGUAAUACGUAGGUGGCAAGCGUUGUCCGGAAUUAUUGGGCGUAAAGGGCUCGCAGGCGGUUUCUUAAGUCUGAUGUGAAAGCCCCCGGCUCAACCGGGGAGGGUCAUUGGAAACUGGGGAACUUGAGUGCACAAGAGGAGAGUGGAAUUCCACGUGUAGCGGUGAAAUGCGUAUAGAUGUGGAGGAACACCAGUGGCGAAGGCGACUCUCUGGUCUGUAACUGACGCUGAAGAGCGAAAGCGUGGGGGC
This 745-nucleotide ribosomal RNA is filed under the name Bacillus amyloliquefaciens. RNAcentral describes it as "bacterial SSU rRNA". It matches the Rfam family "Bacterial small subunit ribosomal RNA", at positions 39 to 768 of the family's 1533-position model. Lineage: Bacteria; Bacillati; Bacillota; Bacilli; Caryophanales; Bacillaceae. The record is from RNAcentral.